Molecule: ribosomal RNA, 232 nt
Filed under: uncultured bacterium
Lineage: Bacteria
Description: partial 16S ribosomal RNA
Rfam family: Bacterial small subunit ribosomal RNA
Source: RNAcentral
UAAUACAUCGGAACGUACCUCGUAGUGGGGGAUAACCCGGCGAAAGCCGGACUAAUACCGCAUAUGCUCUACGGAGGAAAGUGGGGGACCCAGCAGGCAACUGAGGGGCCUCACGCUAUGGGAGCGGCCGAUGUCCGAUUAGCUUGUUGGCGGGGUAAAGGCCCACCAAGGCGACGAUCGGUAGCUGGUCUGAGAGGAUGAUCAGCCACACUGGGACUGAGACACGGCCCAG